GUCUUUUUGAUUAAUAAUUUAAAGUCUAAUCUGCCCACUGAUAAUAUAUUAAAGGGCUGCAGUAUUUUGACUGUACAAAGGUAGCAUAAUCAUUAGUCUCUUAAUUGGUGACUUGUAUGAAGGAUUUGAUGAAAUAUAUACUGUCUCUUUUUAAUUUAUAAAAUUUAAUUUUUUAGUUAAAAAGCUAAAAUAUUUUUAAAAGACGAGAAGACCCUAUAGAGUUUUAUAUUUGUGUAAAUUAAGAUUUUUUAUAAGAUUUAAAAUUUUAAUUUAUAUAAAUAUUUUGUUGGGGUGAUAGAAAAAUUAAAAUAACUUUUUUUAUAAUUUUACAUUAAUAAGUGAAUAAAUGAUCCGUAAUUUACGAUUAUAAGAUAAAAUUACCUUAGGGAUAACAGCGUAAUUUUUUUUUUUAGUUCAAAUAAGAAAAAAAGUUUGCGACCUCGAUGUUGGAUUAAGAUAAAAUUUAAAUGCAAAAGUUUAAAAUUUUUGAUCUGUUCGAUCAUUAAAAUCUUACA
Molecule: ribosomal RNA, 515 nt
Filed under: Parnassius actius actius
Lineage: Eukaryota; Metazoa; Arthropoda; Insecta; Lepidoptera; Papilionidae
Description: partial 16S rRNA
Rfam family: Bacterial large subunit ribosomal RNA (bases 388-515)
Source: RNAcentral